This 68-nucleotide transfer RNA is filed under the name Acropyga panamensis. RNAcentral's name for it is "tRNA-Ile". Lineage: Eukaryota; Metazoa; Arthropoda; Insecta; Hymenoptera; Formicidae. The record is from RNAcentral.
UAUGAUAUGCCUGAACAAAGGAUUAUUUUGAUAGAAUAAAUCAUACCUUUUUAAAAAUGUUUCCAUUA